UUCUUCGGAGAGUUUGAUCCUGGCUCAGGAUGAACGCUGGCGGCGUGCCUAAUACAUGCAAGUCGAGCGAACUGAUUAGAAGCUUGCUUCUAUGACGUUAGCGGCGGACGGGUGAGUAACACGUGGGCAACCUGCCUGUAAGACUGGGAUAACUUCGGGAAACCGAAGCUAAUACCGGAUAGGAUCUUCUCCUUCAUGGGAGAUGAUUGAAAGAUGGUUUCGGCUA
RNAcentral lists this ribosomal RNA (226 nucleotides) under Priestia megaterium. Its description in RNAcentral is "Bacillus megaterium partial 16S ribosomal RNA". It matches the Rfam family "Bacterial small subunit ribosomal RNA", at positions 1 to 220 of the family's 1533-position model. Lineage: Bacteria; Bacillati; Bacillota; Bacilli; Caryophanales; Bacillaceae. The record is from RNAcentral.